CAGAAGCUCUCCUAAUCCCAUGAACGUACUUUGGGCUACAAAGCAUUUAGAGAGUAGCUUCCUAGGUCCUGAGGUUGAGAAAGAAACUUGCCCUUGCUUCAAAGUAGGAAAGAAGCUUUCUUGGAGAGACAUGAGGUUUAGGAAGGUCUAAGGAGCUGUGGAGAUUGGGGAGAAAAAUGGAUAUGCUGUCUGGAAGCACUUGUGAGAUUCACUGCAUAUACUGUCACCUAGGACCUGAAUUUCACCCCUCAAAAGAGUGACCUGAAACACAUAGCCCAGGUGACCCUUCCCAGACCUGGAAAAUGAAGGAUCUUCUAAAGGGAUGACAGCUGGACCCCCAAACACUUGCUCUAGAGGGAGCUGAAUUGGAGAAACUGUAAGCAAGGAAGGCAGAAGAAAUGUUUUAAAGAGACAAUUCCUCAGAUGAUAUAAUGUAACCAUGAGCAAACUGGAGUACAGCAACAGAAGACAAAUUUACCUGGAGUAGA
Ornithorhynchus anatinus (platypus) is the source of this 488-nucleotide long non-coding RNA. RefSeq lists it as uncharacterized. The record is from RefSeq and is a predicted model, not a curated record. The transcript has 3 exons. NCBI's taxonomy places the organism in Eukaryota, Metazoa, Chordata, Mammalia, Monotremata, Ornithorhynchidae.